RNAcentral lists this ribosomal RNA (308 nucleotides) under uncultured bacterium. Its description in RNAcentral is "bacterial SSU rRNA". It matches the Rfam family "Bacterial small subunit ribosomal RNA", at positions 30 to 334 of the family's 1533-position model. The record is from RNAcentral.
AUUGAACGCUGGCGGCAUGCCUAACACAUGCAAGUCGAACGGAAACGAUGGGAGCUUGCUCCCAGGCGUCGAGUGGCGGACGGGUGAGUAAUACUUAGGUAUCUGCCCAAUAGUGGGGGACAACUCGGGGAAACUCGAGCUAAUACCGCAUACGACCUACGGGUGAAAGUGGAGGAUCUUCGGACUUCACGCUAUUGGAUGAGCCUAAGUCGGAUUAGCUUGUUGGUGAGGUAAAGGCUCACCAAGGCGACGAUCCGUAGCUGGUCUGAGAGGACGAUCAGCCACACUGGGACUGAGACACGGCCCAG